RNAcentral lists this ribosomal RNA (398 nucleotides) under Anteholosticha pulchra. RNAcentral describes it as "partial small subunit ribosomal RNA". It matches the Rfam family "Eukaryotic small subunit ribosomal RNA", at positions 30 to 432 of the family's 1831-position model. The record is from RNAcentral. Lineage: Eukaryota; Ciliophora; Spirotrichea; Urostylida; Holostichidae.
GCUUGUCUCAAAGAUUAAGCCAUGCAUGUCUAAGUAUAAAUGUUAUACAGUGAAACUGCGAAUGGCUCAUUAAAUCAGUUAUAAUUUAUUUGAUAAUACCUUACUACUUGGAUAACCGUGGUAAUUCUAGAGCUAAUACAUGCUAAAAAACCCGACUUCUGGAAGGGUUGUAUUUAUUAGAUAACAAACCAAUAUUCUUCGUGUCUAUUGUGAUGACUCAUAAUAACUGAUCGAAUCGCAUGGUCCUUGACCGCGAUAAAUCAUUCAAGUUUCUGCCCCAUCAGCUUUCGAUGGUAGUGUAUUGGACUACCAUGGCUUUAACGGGUAACGGAGGAUUAGGGUUCGAUUCCGGAGAGGGAGCCUGAGAAACGGCUACCACAUCUAAGGAAGGCAGCAGG